UGGGGGGAUAUUGCACAAGUGGGGGAAACCCUGAUGCAGCAACGCCGCGUGAGGGAUGAAGGUUUUCGGAUUGUAAACCUCUGUCCUUAGUGAAGAACAAAAUGACGGUAACUAAGAAGGAAGCUCCGGCUAACUACGUGCCAGCAGCCGCGGUAAUACGUAGGGAGCAAGCGUUGUCCGGAUUUAUUGGGUGUAAAGGGUGCGUAGGCGGCUACGUAAGUCAGACGUGUAAUGCAGGGGCUUAACCCCUGAAUUGCGUUUGAAACUGUGUAGCUUGAGUGGAGUAGAGGCAGAUGGAAUUUCCAGUGUAGCGGUAGAA
This 319-nucleotide ribosomal RNA is filed under the name uncultured Clostridium sp. RNAcentral's name for it is "bacterial SSU rRNA". It matches the Rfam family "Bacterial small subunit ribosomal RNA", at positions 354 to 686 of the family's 1533-position model. Lineage: Bacteria; Bacillati; Bacillota; Clostridia; Eubacteriales; Clostridiaceae. The record is from RNAcentral.